UCUUCUGGGAUGGAUUGGAGCUUCACACUUGGGGCAGGCUCCAUCUAGGACUUGGAAGGGGAGGCCAAGACCCUGUGCUUAGCAGAGGGCCUGAGCAGAAUGCACAGUCUCAACCUCAAGAAAUUUCUCCAAUGAGAUUUCACUUUAGCUCUCAAAACACUUCCUGAGAAGACAAGAGUAAAUCCCAGGCUGCAGGCUGACUUUGGCAAGUUUUCUAGUUUAAAGCAUACGCAUGAAAAGGAACAUGCCUUUCACUGAUGCAUCAUUGUUACUGUGGUUUAACUUCUUAACCCCUCUUCCUGUUGAAGACUCCGCCAUAACUGAAGUGUCUACAGCUUUAGCUGCUAAUUACAUUUCCACCUACGAAGCUUGGAAAAAUAAAAUUUAGGAAAACUGUC
Long non-coding RNA from Canis lupus familiaris (dog), 398 nucleotides. RefSeq lists it as uncharacterized. Lineage: Eukaryota; Metazoa; Chordata; Mammalia; Carnivora; Canidae. The record is from RefSeq and is a predicted model, not a curated record. The transcript is spliced from 2 exons.